GGGUGCGUAACUCAGGUGGACAGAGUAGCGACCUUCUAAGUCGCGAGCCGCAGGUUCGAGUCCUGCCGCACCCG
RNAcentral lists this transfer RNA (74 nucleotides) under Nostocaceae cyanobacterium. RNAcentral describes it as "tRNA-Arg". It matches the Rfam family "tRNA". From Rfam's summary of the family: Transfer RNA (tRNA) molecules are approximately 80 nucleotides in length. Lineage: Bacteria; Bacillati; Cyanobacteriota; Cyanophyceae; Nostocales; Nostocaceae. The record is from RNAcentral.